UUUGACUUUUGGUUUGACUUUGGUGUUGAUUCAAUUAAUUCAAUAACUAAUUUUCAUUAUUUUUAAAAUCUUUUUGGGGGAUGAUGAUGUCCUGACCCCACCUAACUUAAUUUAAUUUUUCAUCAUUUUUGUGAUUAAUUUACUAUUUAUUUGACAUUUUUUAAGUUGACUUGACUUUUCGGUUGACUUUUGUAUGAUUGAUGUUUG
Molecule: long non-coding RNA, 207 nt
Filed under: Lathyrus oleraceus (garden pea)
Lineage: Eukaryota; Viridiplantae; Streptophyta; Magnoliopsida; Fabales; Fabaceae
Description: Pisum sativum (pea) long non-coding RNA (PSAT_LNC040783)
Source: RNAcentral